This 750-nucleotide ribosomal RNA is filed under the name Pantoea dispersa. RNAcentral's name for it is "bacterial SSU rRNA". It matches the Rfam family "Bacterial small subunit ribosomal RNA", at positions 44 to 791 of the family's 1533-position model. Lineage: Bacteria; Pseudomonadati; Pseudomonadota; Gammaproteobacteria; Enterobacterales; Erwiniaceae. The record is from RNAcentral.
GGGCUACCAUGCAGUCGACGGCAGCACAGAAGAGCUUGCUCUUUGGGUGGCGAGUGGCGGACGGGUGAGUAAUGUCUGGGAAACUGCCCGAUGGAGGGGGAUAACUACUGGAAACGGUAGCUAAUACCGCAUAACGUCGCAAGACCAAAGUGGGGGACCUUCGGGCCUCACACCAUCGGAUGUGCCCAGAUGGGAUUAGCUAGUAGGUGGGGUAAUGGCUCACCUAGGCGACGAUCCCUAGCUGGUCUGAGAGGAUGACCAGCCACACUGGAACUGAGACACGGUCCAGACUCCUACGGGAGGCAGCAGUGGGGAAUAUUGCACAAUGGGCGCAAGCCUGAUGCAGCCAUGCCGCGUGUAUGAAGAAGGCCUUCGGGUUGUAAAGUACUUUCAGCGGGGAGGAAGGCGGUGAGGUUAAUAACCUUGCCGAUUGACGUUACCCGCAGAAGAAGCACCGGCUAACUCCGUGCCAGCAGCCGCGGUAAUACGGAGGGUGCAAGCGUUAAUCGGAAUUACUGGGCGUAAAGCGCACGCAGGCGGUCUGUUAAGUCAGAUGUGAAAUCCCCGGGCUUAACCUGGGAACUGCAUUUGAAACUGGCAGGCUUGAGUCUCGUAGAGGGGGGUAGAAUUCCAGGUGUAGCGGUGAAAUGCGUAGAGAUCUGGAGGAAUACCGGUGGCGAAGGCGGCCCCCUGGACGAAGACUGACGCUCAGGUGCGAAAGCGUGGGGAGCAAACAGGUUAGCCCCUGGU